This 253-nucleotide ribosomal RNA is filed under the name uncultured bacterium. RNAcentral describes it as "partial 16S ribosomal RNA". It matches the Rfam family "Bacterial small subunit ribosomal RNA", at positions 524 to 776 of the family's 1533-position model. The record is from RNAcentral.
UACGUAGGUGGCAAGCGUUGUCCGGAUUUAUUGGGUUUAAAGGGUGCGUAGGCGGCCUUAUAAGUCAGUGCUGAAAUAUCCCGGCUUAACCGGGAGGGUGGCAUUGAUACUGUAGGGCUUGAGUGUAGUCGAGGUAGGCGGAAUUGACGGUGUAGCGGUGAAAUGCGUAGAUAUCGAGAGGAACACCUGCGGCGAAGGCGGGUUGCUGGGCUGACACUGACGCUGAUGCGCGAAAGCCAGGGGAGCGAACGGG